This 253-nucleotide ribosomal RNA is filed under the name uncultured bacterium. RNAcentral describes it as "partial 16S ribosomal RNA". It matches the Rfam family "Bacterial small subunit ribosomal RNA", at positions 524 to 776 of the family's 1533-position model. The record is from RNAcentral.
UACGUAGGGGGCUAGCGUUGUCCGGAAUCAUUGGGCGUAAAGAGCGCGUAGGCGGCCAGAUAAGUCCGGUGUGAAAGUCACAGGCUCAACCUGUGAAUGCCGCUGGAAACUGUCUGGCUAGAGUCCGGAAGAGGAGAGUGGAAUUCCUGGUGUAGCGGUGAAAUGCGCAGAUAUCAGGAAGAACACCCGUGGCGAAGGCGGCUCUCUGGGACGGUACUGACGCUGAGACGCGAAAGCGUGGGGAGCGAACAGG